RNAcentral lists this ribosomal RNA (765 nucleotides) under uncultured Actinomycetes bacterium. RNAcentral's name for it is "bacterial SSU rRNA". It matches the Rfam family "Bacterial small subunit ribosomal RNA", at positions 131 to 886 of the family's 1533-position model. The record is from RNAcentral. Lineage: Bacteria; Bacillati; Actinomycetota; Actinomycetes.
UUGCACUUCGGGAUAAGCUUGGGAAACUGGGUCUAAUACCGGAUAGGACAGCUGUUUAGUGUCAGUUGUGGAAAGUUUUUUCGGUGCAAGAUGAGCUCGCGGCCUAUCAGCUUGUUGGUGGGGUAAUGGCCUAGCCAAGGCGUCGACGGGUAGCCGGCCUGAGAGGGUGUACGGCCACAUUGGGACUGAGAUACGGCCCAGACUCCUACGGGAGGCAGCAGUGGGGAAUCAUUGCACAAUGGGCGGAAGCCUGAUGCAGCGACGCCGCGUGGGGGAUGAAGGCCUUCGGGUUGUAAACUCCCUUUCGACAGGGACGAAGCGUAAGUGACGGUACCUGUAUAAGAAGCACCGGCUAACUACGUGCCAGGCAGCCGCGGUCAAUACGUACGGUGCGAGCGUUGUCCGGAAUUACUUGGGCCGUAAAGGAGCUCGUAAGGUUGGUAAGCAGCGUCGACUGGGAAAAUCCGGGGCUUAACUCCGGGCGUCAGGCGAUACGGGCUGACUUGAGUGCUGUAGGGGAGACUGGAAUUCCUGGUGUAACGGUGAAAUGCCCAGAUAUCAGGAGGAACACCGAUGGCGAAGGCAGGUCUCUGGGCAGUAACUGACGCUGAGGAGCGAAAGCUAUGGGUACGAACUAGGAUUAGAUACCUCUGGUAGUCCUAAUGCCUGUAAACUGGCUGGGCGCUAGGUGUAGGGGGCUUCCUACGUCUUCUGUGCUCGUAGCUAACUGCUAUCUAAGCUGCCCUCUGCUCUGGGGAGUACUGG